RNAcentral lists this ribosomal RNA (459 nucleotides) under uncultured bacterium. RNAcentral's name for it is "partial 16S ribosomal RNA". It matches the Rfam family "Bacterial small subunit ribosomal RNA", at positions 338 to 794 of the family's 1533-position model. The record is from RNAcentral.
CCUACGGGAGGCAGCAGUGAGGAAUAUUGGUCAAUGGACGAGAGUCUGAACCAGCCAAGUAGCGUGAAGGAUGACUGCCCUAUGGGUUGUAAACUUCUUUUAUAUGGGAAUAAAAUGUUCCACGUGUGGGAUUUUGUAUGUACCAUAUGAAUAAGGAUCGGCUAACUACGUGCCAGCAGCCGCGGUAAUACGGAGGAUCCGAGCGUUAUCCGGAUUUAUUGGGUUUAAAGGGAGCGUAGGUGGAUUGUUAAGUCAGUUGUGAAAGUUUGCGGCUCAACCGUAAAAUUGCAGUUGAAACUGGCAGUCUUGAGUACAGUAGAGGUGGGCGGAAUUCGUGGUGUAGCGGUGAAAUGCUUAGAUAUCACGAAGAACUCCGAUUGCGAAGGCAGUUCACUGGACUGCAACUGACACUGAGGCUCGAAAGUGUGGGUAUCAAACAGGAUUAGAUACCCCUGUAGU